GAUGAACGCUGGCGGCGUGCCUAAUACAUGCAAGUCGAGCGAACGGACGAGAAGCUUGCCUCUCUGAUGUUAGCGGCGGACGGGUGAGUAACACGUGGAUAACCUACCUAUAAGACUGGGAUAACUUCGGGAAACCGGAGCUAAUACCGGAUAAUAUUUUGAACCGCAUGGAUCAAAAGUGAAAGACGGUCUUGCUGUCACUUAUAGAUGGAUCCGCGCUGCAUUAGCUAGUUGGUAAGGUAACGGCUUACCAAGGCAACGAUGCAUAGCCGACCUGAGAGGGUGAUCGGCCACACUGGAACUGAGACACGGUCCAGACUCCUACGGGAGGCAGCAGUAGGGAAUCUUCCGCAAUGGGCGCAAGCCUGACGGAGCAACGCCGCGUGAGUGAUGAAGGUCUUCGGAUCGUAAAACUCUGUUAUUAGGGAAGAACAUAUGUGUAAGUAACUGUGCACAUCUUGACGGUACCUAAUCAGAAAGCCACGGCUAACUACGUG
RNAcentral lists this ribosomal RNA (497 nucleotides) under uncultured bacterium. RNAcentral describes it as "partial 16S ribosomal RNA". It matches the Rfam family "Bacterial small subunit ribosomal RNA", at positions 28 to 507 of the family's 1533-position model. The record is from RNAcentral.